RNAcentral lists this ribosomal RNA (530 nucleotides) under fungal sp. G4. RNAcentral's name for it is "eukaryotic LSU rRNA". The stretch from base 158 to 311 matches the Rfam family "5.8S ribosomal RNA". The record is from RNAcentral. Lineage: Eukaryota; Fungi.
GGGGCUUCGAACUAUCCACUCCCAACCCAUGUGAACUUAUCUCUUUGUUGCCUCGGCGCAAGCUACCCGGGACCUCGCGCCCCGGGGGGCCCGCCGGCGGACAAACCAAACUCUGUUAUCUUCGUUGAUUAUCUGAGUGUCUUAUUUAAUAAGUCAAAACUUUCAACAACGGAUCUCUUGGUUCUGGCAUCGAUGAAGAACGCAGCGAAAUGCGAUAAGUAAUGUGAAUUGCAGAAUUCAGUGAAUCAUCGAAUCUUUGGACGCACAUUGCGCCCAUUAGUAUUCUAGUGGGCAUGCCUGUUCGAGCGUCAUUUCAACCCCUAAGCACAGCUUAUUGUUGGGACUCUACGGCUUCGUAGUUCCCCAAAGACAUUGGCGGAGUGGCAGCAGUCCUCUGAGCGUAGUAAUUCUUUAUCUCGCUUUUGUUAGGCGCUGCCCCCCCGGCCGUAAAACCCCCAAUUUUUUCUGGUUGACCUCGGAUCAGGUAGGAAUACCCGCUGAACUUAAGCAUAUCAUAGGGCGGGAGGAAA